This 376-nucleotide unclassified non-coding RNA is filed under the name uncultured Actinomycetes bacterium. RNAcentral's name for it is "uncultured actinobacterium contains 16S-23S intergenic spacer region". The record is from RNAcentral. Lineage: Bacteria; Bacillati; Actinomycetota; Actinomycetes.
UCCCCGUUAUCCUGGGCAGUCCCUCUAGAGUGCCCGGCAUUACCCGCUGGCAACAUAGGACAAGGGUUGCGCUCGUUGCGGGACUUAACCCAACAUCUCACGACACGAGCCGACGACAGCCAUGCACCACCUAUCGCAGGCCCCGAAGGACACCGUAUCUCUACGGCUUUUCCUGCGUAGUUCAACCCAGGUAAGGUUCUUCGCGUUGCCUCGAAUUAAGCCACAUGCUCCACCGCUUGUGCGGGCCCCCGUCAAUUCCUUUGAGUUUUAGCCUUGCGGCCGUACUCCCCAGGCGGGGUGCUUAAUGCGUUAGCUUCGGCACGGAAGGAGUCGACACCUCCCACACCUAGCACCCAUCGUUUACGGCGUGGACUAC